CACGUAGGGGGCAAGCGUUGUCCGGAUUUAUUGGGCGUAAAGAGCUCGUAGGCGGUUCGGUAAGUCGGGUGUGAAACCUCCAGGCUCAACCUGGAGACGCCACCCGAUACUGCUGUGACUUGAGUCCGGUAGGGGAGCGUGGAAUUCCUGGUGUAGCGGUGAAAUGCGCAGAUAUCAGGAGGAACACCGGUGGCGAAGGCGGGUCUCUGGGCCGUAACUGACGCUGAGGAGCGAAAGCGUGGGGAGCGAACAGG
Molecule: ribosomal RNA, 254 nt
Filed under: uncultured bacterium
Lineage: Bacteria
Description: partial 16S ribosomal RNA
Rfam family: Bacterial small subunit ribosomal RNA
Source: RNAcentral